RNAcentral lists this ribosomal RNA (497 nucleotides) under uncultured bacterium. RNAcentral describes it as "partial 16S ribosomal RNA". It matches the Rfam family "Bacterial small subunit ribosomal RNA", at positions 29 to 507 of the family's 1533-position model. The record is from RNAcentral.
ACGCACGCUGGCGGCGUGCCUAAUACAUGCCAGUCGAGCGGACGGAUGGGAGCUUGCUCCCAGACCGUCAGCGGCGGACGGGUGAGUAACACGUGGGCAACCUGCCUGUAAGACUGGGAUAACUCCGGGAAACCGGGGCUAAUACCGGAUAACUCUUUCCCUCACAUGAGGGAAAGCUGAAAGAUGGCAUCUCGCUAUCACUUACAGAUGGGCCCGCGGCGCAUUAGCUAGUUGGUGAGGUAACGGCUCACCAAGGCGACGAUGCGUAGCCGACCUGAGAGGGUGAUCGGCCACACUGGGACUGAGACACGGCCCAGACUCCUACGGGAGGCAGCAGUAGGGAAUCUUCCGCAAUGGACGAAAGUCUGACGGAGCAACGCCGCGUGAGUGAUGAAGGUUUUCGGAUCGUAAAACUCUGUUGUCAGGGAAGAACAAGUACCGGAGUAACUGCCGGUACCUUGACGGUACCUGACCAGAAAGCCACGGCUAACUACGUG